CCUACGGGAGGCAGCAGUAGGGAAUUUUCCGCAAUGGACGAAAGUCUGACGGAGCAACGCCGCGUGAGGGAUGAAGGUUUUCGGAUCGUAAACCUCUGUCCUUGGGGAAGAUAAUGACGGUACCCAAGGAGGGAGCCACGGCUAACUACGUGCCAGCAGCCGCGGUAAUACGUAGGUGACAAGCGUUGUCCGGAAUUACUGGGCGUAAAGGGCGUGUAGGCGGCCAAUUAAGUCAGAUGUGAAAUCCCCGGGCUUAACCUGGGAACUGCAUUUGAGACUGGAUGGCUUGAGGACCGGAGAGGGUAGUGGAAUUCCUAGUGUAGCGGUGAAAUGCGUAGAUAUUAGGAGGAACACCAGUGGCGAAGGCGACUACCUGGACGGCACCUGACGCUGAGGCGCGAAAGCCAGGGUAGCAAACGGGAUUAGAUACCCCGGUAGUCCUGGCCGUAAACGAUGGGUACUAGGUGUAGGAGGUAUCGACCCCUUCUGUGCCGCAGUUAACACAAUAAGUACCCCGCCUGGGGAGUACGGCCGCAAGGUUGAAACUCAAAUGAAUUGACGG
This 562-nucleotide ribosomal RNA is filed under the name uncultured bacterium. RNAcentral's name for it is "bacterial SSU rRNA". It matches the Rfam family "Bacterial small subunit ribosomal RNA", at positions 338 to 916 of the family's 1533-position model. The record is from RNAcentral.